UGUUAGUUUUGGUACAGAGCCAUAAGAUUAAUGAAAUGAACUUUCCGGCAGUUUCUCAAAGUUUUGAGGUCUAAAAUAAUUAAGAAAAGUAAUUUUAGACUUAAGUUUAUGAUUGGGAUUCAUUACGACGGGUAGUGAUUCACCUUAAUUUUUUCAUUUACUUGUUGCAGAUGUCCAUCCAGUUGCUAUAGGUAAUCCAAGCAAUCACAACUCAAAAGGCUGAAUGUCCUUGUGGAGACAUCAAAGCAGAAAAAUCUACAAAGAAUUAUUUCUUCGCAACGGUGAAUCUUCACGCUCCACAGAUCAAAAGGAAGAGAAAAAGAAUUUGGCGACCCGAAGAUAUACAUUGUUAGAGUGACAAGCUGACUAUCCCUCAGCAGAAGCCGCGAGAGAAUGUGGCUCCAUCGGAAGUAGAUGCAGGCCGAGAGAAAACUCACUUUUCAAACUCUUGGAAGUCAUUGUCUUUCGGGCUUGCCAUACAGUAGAUUGUCAUGGCAACGCAACCUGCUGGUGUUACAAAGAGUUUAAAAUGUUGAAAGGCAGCUGAACUGACUAGAGUAAAGAGCAACAGAAUAAACAGUAUUUUGAUUCAUUUCGACGGUUACAAAAAAAAGACCAUGAAUACGGCAUUGUCAGAGCUUUUCUAAAUCUGAUUCACCAUAUCAUAACCCCUAGGAAGAAGAAAACAUCAAUAUCGCGAAAGGAAAGAAGAUGUUUCUAUGGAAAACCUAGGAAUUUACUCCAUAACAGAUCUGGUGAAAAAUCAAAGAGAUCAAAGCGAACGCUCCUGGGAGUUAGAUGCGGCUCUGAAUCAAAGAUGUACGAGGUGGACUCCAAAGUGGCUGGCUUCAUUUCAAGUCUGAAUCCCAAUUUCAAGGGAAAUGCUGUCGAAACUUCAACCCACCACCCGCCUCCCCCCACUCUCCAAAUCAGUCAAAACCAACACUUCAGCAGGUGCUGAUGAAGGCAUAAACAUCGCAUCAGUCUGGCCAAUGUGCACGCAUGACAUUCAAAUAACAGUGUUAGAGCCUUUACAUUAUUACCACUUUGUUCUGCAAAUGCAUAUUAAUGAAAAAGAGAAAUAACAAACAGAACGACACAUUCCCCAGACACCACUGCAGAUAAAGCAUAACAAUUUAACAGGAAUACUGUACUGUAACUUUAAAAAAAGAUAACCCUGUCUUUGACAUGAGCCUGCAGCGGAUGAAUGGAAAGCCAAGU
Non-coding RNA from Chiloscyllium plagiosum (whitespotted bambooshark), 1221 nucleotides. Lineage: Eukaryota; Metazoa; Chordata; Chondrichthyes; Orectolobiformes; Hemiscylliidae. The record is from RefSeq and is a predicted model, not a curated record.